This 251-nucleotide ribosomal RNA is filed under the name uncultured bacterium. RNAcentral describes it as "partial 16S ribosomal RNA". It matches the Rfam family "Bacterial small subunit ribosomal RNA", at positions 524 to 776 of the family's 1533-position model. The record is from RNAcentral.
GACGUAGGGUGCAAGCGUUGUCCGGAAUUAUUGGGCGUAAAGAGCUUGUAGGCGGUCUGUCGCGUCUGCUGUGAAACUCGGGGCUUAACCCCGGCCUGCAGUGGGUACGGGCAGACUAGAGUGCGGUAGGGGAGACUGGAAUUCCUGGUGUAGCGGUGAAAUGCGCAGAUAUCAGGAGGAACACCGGUGGCGAAGGCGGGUCUCUGGGCCGUAACUGACGCUGAGGAGCGAAAGCAUGGGGAGCGAACAGG